UGACCCCUGGCUACAGGCAGAGACACCUGGUUGGUGGUGGUGCUCUUAUAUCAGUCAGGGCCAGAGCAGACUGGCAGCCCUUUGCUCAUCCUAGCUUGACGCCUAGAUUGUGGCCAGAGCUGUGUCAUGCCUAGGGCACAUAA
Molecule: small nucleolar RNA, 143 nt
Filed under: Echinops telfairi (small Madagascar hedgehog)
Lineage: Eukaryota; Metazoa; Chordata; Mammalia; Afrosoricida; Tenrecidae
Description: Small nucleolar RNA SNORA48 (ENSETEG00000025513.1)
Rfam family: Small nucleolar RNA SNORA48
About the family: The snoRNA ACA 48 has been identified to guide pseudouridylation of the residue U3797 in the 28S rRNA subunit. Its host gene EIF4A1 (eukaryotic translation initiation factor 4A1) is shared with U67 and snoRNA mgU6-77
Source: RNAcentral